This 371-nucleotide ribosomal RNA is filed under the name uncultured organism. Its description in RNAcentral is "bacterial SSU rRNA". It matches the Rfam family "Bacterial small subunit ribosomal RNA", at positions 527 to 896 of the family's 1533-position model. The record is from RNAcentral.
CGGGGGGGUAAGCGUUGUUCGGAAUUACUGGGCGUAAAGGGCUCGUAGGCGGCCAACUAAGUCAUACGUGAAAUCCCUCAGCUUAACUGGGGAACUGCGUGUGAUACUGGAUGGCUUGGAUUUGGGAGAGGGAUGCGGAAUUCCAGGUGUAGCGGUGAAAUGCGUAGAUAUCUGGAGGAACACCGGUGGCGAAGGCGGCAUCCUGGACCAAUAUUGACGCUGAGGAGCGAAAGCCAGGGGAGCAAACGGGAUUAGAUACCCCGGUAGUCCUGGCCCUAAACGAUGAAUGCUUGGUGUAGCGGGUAUCGAUCCCUGCUGUGCCGAAGCUAACGCAUUAAGCAUUCCGCCUGGGGAGUACGGUCGCAAGGUUG